GUUUCAAUUCCUCAUAGGCAGGCUAUCGGCAAAUUUCGAUGCUGGAGAAGUGUUUGAAAAGGCAUG
Molecule: small RNA, 66 nt
Filed under: Acididesulfobacillus acetoxydans
Lineage: Bacteria; Bacillati; Bacillota; Clostridia; Eubacteriales; Peptococcaceae
Description: Peptococcaceae bacterium INE non-coding RNA
Source: RNAcentral